RNAcentral lists this ribosomal RNA (324 nucleotides) under uncultured Tremula. RNAcentral describes it as "SSU rRNA". The stretch from base 122 to 324 matches the Rfam family "Eukaryotic small subunit ribosomal RNA", at positions 749 to 955 of the family's 1831-position model. Lineage: Eukaryota; Cercozoa. The record is from RNAcentral.
UGUUGUGGUUGGGGAGGGGUUGUGGUGGUGCUUUUGUACUUCCUCAUACCCCUUCGCACACGACAUUCGUGGGUUGGCCGGCAGGGACUCCUCGGAGCACCCACCGGAACCACCUACCCACAUAAUACUUUGAGAAAAAGAAAGUGUUCCAAGCAGUCUUAACGACAUGAAUACAUUAGCAUGGAAUAUACACAACGGGCUUUUGUCCUUGUGGUUGGUUUUUGGACCGAGUCAUGAUUGAUAGGGACAGUUGGGGGUGCUCGUAUUCCGUGAGGACAGGUGAAAUUGAAUGAUCCACGGAAGACGAACUUUUGCGAAAGCAUU